CUACUUUCUAAGUUCUACCUCAGAGUUUGCCGGUGAUCCGUCAAAAUGUUGGAAAAUAGUUAGCGCACAGAAGCGUGGCCGAAGCAAGUUGUGUCAGACUCUUUUCAUCAGCAUUUUAUCUUGGCAAGCUUUUUAUUUGAAAGACAUCGUGGUUUAUUUGACACGGGUCACUGAGUCGACUGCUCUUUACUCUCUCAGCCUUUACUUGGCUGGAUGGAAGAUCAUUCAACUUCUAGGGAAUAGUUUGUAUCAUUCAUUCCAACAACAUUUUACUUGUGAUGUGCUAGAUGCCUUGCUUAAGAAAACAUCUACUGGGGCUCAUUUGCUGGAUCCAUUCUUUCUGCAGAGAAGUCAUUGGCACAUUUUUUAUCUGACGAUUAUCUCGGAUGCUAUCCCCAGGGUUUGGAAGGCAGCCCAUGUGCUCCUUCUCCAUAAAGUUGACCAGGCUAUUUUGGAGCUUCAAUCUACCUUCAUUGCUUUGCAGAAACCCAUUGUUGAACUGAAAUUGGUACUUAAUGCAGUUGCAGACGGUGUGGCAGCGAAGAGGAAGAGGGAGGACGAGGAGAAAGAGGAGGUGCGGGAGAACAGUGAGAAUCCCCUCCGCUGUCCUGUCCGAUUGUACGAGUUCUACCUGUGGUGAGUGGUGAGUGACACGUACACAAAUACUGCAUACCUUUAAUCUCCCCAUUCUGCACUGUAAAGUCAACGGAGCAAAGACCAUGAUUUUUUAUACUGGGUUGAUGAAAAUCCUCUGGUUUAUACUGUUUGCUGCGCAUUAACGCAGCUCCUGUAUCCCAUCCUGGCAGGUUUCCUCAUUAGACCCUGCACUAUGUGCUAUUUAAGUUUAGUCUACAUUUGGUCUGCUGAGAAAUCCCCUCAUAUUCUUAACAGAACCAAAGAUAUCAUCUUUAUGUUCUAAUCUUCUCCCCCUAUGGUUGUGAUGUAUGCUGCUGCUUGCAGAGAGAACGUCCUCUACUCUCCUCUUCUAACACCACCAGACACACCCAAACACACUAACUCAACUAGCUGAUUAGAUCACUUCCUGUCAGGUCCCUAUAGGAUGCUAAAAACAAACAUUGUUUGCUUGU
This is a long non-coding RNA of Oncorhynchus masou masou (cherry salmon), 1088 nucleotides long. RefSeq lists it as uncharacterized. The transcript has 3 exons. Lineage: Eukaryota; Metazoa; Chordata; Actinopteri; Salmoniformes; Salmonidae. The record is from RefSeq and is a predicted model, not a curated record.